This 644-nucleotide ribosomal RNA is filed under the name uncultured fungus. RNAcentral's name for it is "eukaryotic LSU rRNA". It matches the Rfam family "Eukaryotic large subunit ribosomal RNA", at positions 24 to 664 of the family's 3401-position model. The record is from RNAcentral. Lineage: Eukaryota; Fungi.
CCCGCUGAACUUAAGCAUAUCAAUAAGCGGAGGAAAAGAAACUAACAAGGAUUCCCCUAGUAACUGCGAGUGAAGCGGGAAAAGCUCAAAUUUAAAAUCUGGCGGUCUCGUGGCCCUCCCAAGUGGUAUUCAGAGGAACCGCCUCUCCGCUGCAGAGCGCGCACGACUCCUGUGGAAGGGAGCGUGGUAGAGGGUGAGAAUCCCCUCUGUGACGCAAACCACCGACGCCUGUGCGAUGCGCUCUCGAAGAGUCGAGUUGUUUGGGAAUGCAGCUCAAAAUGGGUGGUAAAUUCCAUCUAAACCUAAAUAUUGGCGAGAGACCGAUAGCGACUCAAGUACGAUGAAGGGAAAGAUGAAAAGCACUUUGGAAAGAGAGUUAAACAGUAUGAGAAAUUGUUGAAAGGGAAUCGUUUGAAGUCAGUCGCGUCGUACUGAGACUCAGCCGUGCUCUUCUCUCGGUGCAUUUCUCGGUCGACGCAUCAGCAUCAAUUCCCCCCGCCGGACAAAGGUCAGGGGAAUGUGGCAUCCUACGGGAUGUGUCAUAGCCCUUGAUUCGCAUACGGCGAUUGGGAUUGAGGAACUCGGCGCUUCACGCGUCCAGGAUGCUGGCAUAAUGGCUUUAAGCGACCCGUCUUGAAACACGG